GCCUGGGCGACAGAAUGAGUCUCCAACUCAAAAAAAAAAAAAAUCAGUAUUCUAAUUGAUCACAACCAACUACUGAUUUCUUUGUUUCUUCUCUCCUCCCACUGCUUCACUUGACUAGCCUAUA
RNAcentral lists this small RNA (124 nucleotides) under Carlito syrichta (Philippine tarsier). RNAcentral describes it as "Y RNA (ENSTSYG00000033531.1)". The record is from RNAcentral. Lineage: Eukaryota; Metazoa; Chordata; Mammalia; Primates; Tarsiidae.